GGGUUGUGAGGUUAAGCGACUAAGCGUACACGGUGGAUGCCCUGGCAGUCAGAGGCGAUGAAGGACGUGCUAAUCUGCGAUAAGCGUCGGUAAGGUGAUAUGAACCGUUAUAACCGGCGAUUUCCGAAUGGGGAAACCCAGUGUGAUUCGUCACACUAUCAUUAACUGAAUCCAUAGGUUAAUGAGGCGAACCGGGGGAACUGAAACAUCUAAGUACCCCGAGGAAAAGAAAUCAACCGAGAUUCCCCCAGUAGCGGCGAGCGAACGGGGAGGAGCCCAGAGCCUGAAUCAGUGUGUGUGUUAGUGGAAGCGUCUGGAAAGGCGUGCGAUACAGGGUGACAGCCCCGUACACAAAAAUGCACAUGCUGUGAGCUCGAUGAGUAGGGCGGGACACGUGGUAUCCUGUCUGAAUAUGGGGGGACCAUCCUCCAAGGCUAAAUACUCCUGACUGACCGAUAGUGAACCAGUACCGUGAGGGAAAGGCGAAAAGAACCCCGGCGAGGGGAGUGAAAAAGAACCUGAAACCGUGUACGUACAAGCAGUGGGAGCACGCUUAGGCGUGUGACUGCGUACCUUUUGUAUAAUGGGUCAGCGACUUAUAUUCUGUAGCAAGGUUAACCGAAUAGGGGAGCCGAAGGGAAACCGAGUCUUAACUGGGCGUUAAGUUGCAGGGUAUAGACCCGAAACCCGGUGAUCUAGCCAUGGGCAGGUUGAAGGUUGGGUAACACUAACUGGAGGACCGAACCGACUAAUGUUGAAAAAUUAGCGGAUGACUUGUGGCUGGGGGUGAAAGGCCAAUCAAACCGGGAGAUAGCUGGUUCUCCCCGAAAGCUAUUUAGGUAGCGCCUCGUGAAUUCAUCUCCGGGGGUAGAGCACUGUUUCGGCAAGGGGGUCAUCCCGACUUACCAACCCGAUGCAAACUGCGAAUACCGGAGAAUGUUAUCACGGGAGACACACGGCGGGUGCUAACGUCCGUCGUGAAGAGGGAAACAACCCAGACCGCCAGCUAAGGUCCCAAAGUCAUGGUUAAGUGGGAAACGAUGUGGGAAGGCCCAGACAGCCAGGAUGUUGGCUUAGAAGCAGCCAUCAUUUAAAGAAAGCGUAAUAGCUCACUGGUCGAGUCGGCCUGCGCGGAAGAUGUAACGGGGCUAAACCAUGCACCGAAGCUGCGGCAGCGACACUAUGUGUUGUUGGGUAGGGGAGCGUUCUGUAAGCCUGUGAAGGUGUGCUGUGAGGCAUGCUGGAGGUAUCAGAAGUGCGAAUGCUGACAUAAGUAACGAUAAAGCGGGUGAAAAGCCCGCUCGCCGGAAGACCAAGGGUUCCUGUCCAACGUUAAUCGGGGCAGGGUGAGUCGACCCCUAAGGCGAGGCCGAAAGGCGUAGUCGAUGGGAAACAGGUUAAUAUUCCUGUACUUGGUGUUACUGCGAAGGGGGGACGGAGAAGGCUAUGUUGGCCGGGCGACGGUUGUCCCGGUUUAAGCGUGUAGGCUGGUUUUCCAGGCAAAUCCGGAAAAUCAAGGCUGAGGCGUGAUGACGAGGCACUACGGUGCUGAAGCAACAAAUGCCCUGCUUCCAGGAAAAGCCUCUAAGCAUCAGGUAACAUCAAAUCGUACCCCAAACCGACACAGGUGGUCAGGUAGAGAAUACCAAGGCGCUUGAGAGAACUCGGGUGAAGGAACUAGGCAAAAUGGUGCCGUAACUUCGGGAGAAGGCACGCUGAUAUGUAGGUGAAGCGACUUGCUCGUGGAGCUGAAAUCAGUCGAAGAUACCAGCUGGCUGCAACUGUUUAUUAAAAACACAGCACUGUGCAAACACGAAAGUGGACGUAUACGGUGUGACGCCUGCCCGGUGCCGGAAGGUUAAUUGAUGGGGUUAGCGCAAGCGAAGCUCUUGAUCGAAGCCCCGGUAAACGGCGGCCGUAACUAUAACGGUCCUAAGGUAGCGAAAUUCCUUGUCGGGUAAGUUCCGACCUGCACGAAUGGCGUAAUGAUGGCCAGGCUGUCUCCACCCGAGACUCAGUGAAAUUGAACUCGCUGUGAAGAUGCAGUGUACCCGCGGCAAGACGGAAAGACCCCGUGAACCUUUACUAUAGCUUGACACUGAACAUUGAGCCUUGAUGUGUAGGAUAGGUGGGAGGCUUUGAAGUGUGGACGCCAGUCUGCAUGGAGCCGACCUUGAAAUACCACCCUUUAAUGUUUGAUGUUCUAACGUGGACCCGUAAUCCGGGUUGCGGACAGUGUCUGGUGGGUAGUUUGACUGGGGCGGUCUCCUCCUAAAGAGUAACGGAGGAGCACGAAGGUUGGCUAAUCCUGGUCGGACAUCAGGAGGUUAGUGCAAUGGCAUAAGCCAGCUUGACUGCGAGCGUGACGGCGCGAGCAGGUGCGAAAGCAGGUCAUAGUGAUCCGGUGGUUCUGAAUGGAAGGGCCAUCGCUCAACGGAUAAAAGGUACUCCGGGGAUAACAGGCUGAUACCGCCCAAGAGUUCAUAUCGACGGCGGUGUUUGGCACCUCGAUGUCGGCUCAUCACAUCCUGGGGCUGAAGUAGGUCCCAAGGGUAUGGCUGUUCGCCAUUUAAAGUGGUACGCGAGCUGGGUUUAGAACGUCGUGAGACAGUUCGGUCCCUAUCUGCCGUGGGCGCUGGAGAAUUGAGGGGGGCUGCUCCUAGUACGAGAGGACCGGAGUGGACGCAUCACUGGUGUUCGGGUUGUCAUGCCAAUGGCACUGCCCGGUAGCUAAAUGCGGAAGAGAUAAGUGCUGAAAGCAUCUAAGCACGAAACUUGCCCCGAGAUGAGUUCUCCCUGACUCCUUGAGAGUCCUGAAGGAACGUUGAAGACGACGACGUUGAUAGGCCGGGUGUGUAAGCGCAGCGAUGCGUUGAGCUAACCGGUACUAAUGAACCGUGAGGCUUAACCUUACAACGCCGAAG
RNAcentral lists this ribosomal RNA (2924 nucleotides) under Escherichia coli. RNAcentral's name for it is "bacterial LSU rRNA". It matches the Rfam family "Bacterial large subunit ribosomal RNA". The record is from RNAcentral. Lineage: Bacteria; Pseudomonadati; Pseudomonadota; Gammaproteobacteria; Enterobacterales; Enterobacteriaceae.